Nomascus leucogenys (northern white-cheeked gibbon) is the source of this 501-nucleotide long non-coding RNA. RefSeq lists it as uncharacterized. The record is from RefSeq and is a predicted model, not a curated record. The transcript has 3 exons. Lineage: Eukaryota; Metazoa; Chordata; Mammalia; Primates; Hylobatidae.
GGCGCCCGCCGCCACCAUCUCUUGGGCCGCCGUGGGAGAAUCCCUUUAACCUGGGAGAGAACUUUCACUUUGCUACGUUGAACCUGUUGACGGAGCCCAGGCAGCAGAAUCGCUACUAACCUGGGAAGAUGACCGGCACUCCUCCUGUGUUUUGCUUAUGUAGUGUGAAGUGAUAUUUUCCCAUUACGAUGUUGGGAACAUCUCCAAUACUGUCAUCAUUAACUUGGCUAGUAGACAGCCUCUCCUGAGGCAGAGCCUGUGUUUUCAGUCUGGCCUCAGUAUCUGGUCCUGCUACAGUACGCACUCCCCCUCCUGUGCAUAUAAAGGUCCCAGACUCAGUCAGUACAUGGGAAGAUGGCCGGACUUCAAGGAGACAACCGGACUUUGAGGAAGAGAUGGCUGGACUACAGAAGAGACGGCCUGACUUCGGGGGAAGAUGACUGGCCCUUCCUGUUUCCUCUCCAGCUCCCCUUUCUGCUGAGAGCUGUUUUCAUUGCUUAA